Molecule: ribosomal RNA, 406 nt
Filed under: uncultured bacterium
Lineage: Bacteria
Description: partial 16S ribosomal RNA
Rfam family: Bacterial small subunit ribosomal RNA
Source: RNAcentral
GACGAACGCUGGCGGCGUGCUUAACACAUGCAAGUCGAACGAGUGGCGGACGGGUGAGUAAUGCUUGGGAAUCUGGCUUAUGGAGGGGGAUAACGACGGGAAACGGUAGCUAAUACCGCAUACCAUCAGAUGUGCCCAGAUGGGAUGAGCUAGUAGUGGGGGUAACGGCUCACCUAGGCGACGAUCCCUAGCUGGUCUGAGAGGCGGACCAGCCACACUGGAACUGAGACACGGUCCAGACUCCUACGGGAGGCAGCAGUGGGGAAUAUUGCACAAUGGGCGCAAGCCUGAUGCAGCCAUGCCGCGUGUGUGAAGAAGGCCUUCGGGUUGUAAAGCACUUUCAGCGGGGAGGCGUUACCCGCAGAAGAAGCACCGGCUAACUCCGUGCCAGCCGCCGCGGUAAUAC